Molecule: long non-coding RNA, 6516 nt
Filed under: Homo sapiens (human)
Lineage: Eukaryota; Metazoa; Chordata; Mammalia; Primates; Hominidae
Description: long non-coding RNA NONHSAT191112.1
Source: RNAcentral
GCGCUUGGUGCCCCAUGCGGCGUGGGGCGGGGCCUGAGGGAGCGGGGAUGGUCCCGGGAGCCCGGCCUCGUGCGCCGCGCUUUGAGGUGAGCCUCUCUGAGAAAUUUGUGAGGAGGGUCCAGCCGCGGGUCGGAAGGAAGGACGUGGGGAGCGAGGCUCGAGCGAGCGACAGCGAGUGCGAAGGCCGGCGUCCCUGGGAAGCUGAGCGCCGCGUAGCUUCGCCGGGGGGAGUGGGGUAGGCGCGGUGAGGCCGUGGGCCCCCACACCUGGCGGACCACAGGGGCCAGAAGCCCUGGAGCCCCGCCAGGGAAGGGCUGCGUCGCUGGCCAGGACCGAGCGCGGUAGAGCCUCAGCUGCUCACGGGGUCGCUGGAGUUGGGGGUGGCCCCAGGAGAAAUUAAAGGUGAAAAGCCUUAGCAGCAGAGGGAAGAGGAAGAUGGAGGCAGAGCGAGUGACCGAACUUGGAAGGGACAGCCGGGCGCAACAGGGCAGGGGGCGUCUGACUGUUGGAAACAUGGCUGACGUCUGGAGGCUGCAGCCAGUGGUCCGUAAGUCAGGUCAAGGACCCACAGAAGACCCCAGCAUGUCUUCACCUGGCCCACAGAAGCCCUGACAUCCAGUUACAACUGCCCCAGCCUAGUGAGCAUUUCGGCACCCACUCCUCAAUUCCUACCCCCAGCCUAACUUCGAAGGGGCGGUGAGCCACAGCAAGCCGGAGGAGAAAGUUGGAAGAGAGAGUGGACAAAAGAAUACCCACAGGCACCUUCCCCACAGUGGAAUAGCGGGGUUUUAGACAAUCAAGGAUAAUCACCUCUUCCUAUCCCAGUUCAGAAACGGAUGAAAAAGACACAGCAAUAAGAUGGGUGGGUAUCAAAAUAUCAGCUUUGCCACAAAUUAAAAACCUAGCUUGAAGGACAAGGCUUAAAUCUGCAAGCAAGAGGGCAAGCUACUAAAUCACCCGUUAAGUCAGACAAACAUAUCCCCCAGCCUCUAGGCCAUGAAACUGCCUCACCAAGCACUAUGCAAUUGAGUGCCCACCAGAAGACACCCCUCCAGUCAACCCACAGACCCCAGAAAGAGUACCCAGAGGAGCCUGAGCACACUCCACCCUAUCUGUUCUCUGAAAUUCAAUCAAAUGAGUCACUCUACUUCUCUGGAAGCAGAAAGAGGCUGGAAGUUUUUCUCCAGGACCCACCUCUCAAGAUUCCUGCCCUACAUGCCAUUCUUAAAAGAAAAUGUGACCAGAUCACUUCUCUGCCUAAUCUUCAACAACGGGUUCUCACAGCUCUCAGAAGAAGGUGACAAGAAUCUCUGACCUCACCCUGCUGGCCUGUUCCCCUCACCUGGCCACACAACCAAGCUGGUACCUCCACGCUUUCAUCAUGUCCUCUCAAGUACACUGUCUCCAGCUACACCCCUGCACUCCUCUCCGGGAAUUCUGUUUCUCCUCUACCCAACCAGACCCUGUUCCAUCCUCUGUUUUUUCCUUGCUACCAAUUCAGGCCCACGCCUCAUGCACAUUCUCUGAGAAUUAUGUACAUAAGUACCUGACUCUCCUGGAUGUAAGCUGGGUGGGCUUAGCAGGCAGAGGCCCUGUGUCUUACUUUAUCUCUGCAUCACUGAUGUCUGGCACAUCAAGGACUGCAAGUUUGCUGAGAGAAUGAAUCGCCUUUUAUACAUGGAAAUGUAAGCUCUAAACUGCCUCAGAGCAUAUGCUGGUGGGUGACAAUCUGAGGAGGUCAUGAAUAUAGGAGAAUAUUGAAGAGGUCACACAGGGGAAACAACUUUUCAUUAUGAAAAACUGGGAGACUGACAUUUAAAUGGUUUAUCUGCAUGAUUAAAUUAAUCACAUUUCCAACAGUGCAUCAAGCAUCUGAGAAUAACAUUAUUUUGAGUAAAAACAGAAACUCUUCGGGAGAGACCCCCUCCCCACAGGUCAGGCUGCUCAAAUGUCCACCAUGUCUAGCAGCGCAGAGAGAUGGAGCUCAGAGGCAACUUCCUCUUCCCUUGAACUCCGGAUCAGCCUUUCCAGGUGCUUUAGUCGUUCGCCUAGACACGUUCCUGUCGCCUCUGACAGCUGCAGUUGCUCCCUCAUCAUGUCACUCUAUUUGAAUAAAAAAGAAACUGAACAGACUUCCUAAAGCCAGUCCAGGAGCACAGUUUUUACCUGUUCAGUGGCACAUAUCUGUGAUUGAAACUCUGUUUUUGCAUCUUUAACCACUGAAGGAAGAAUGGAGCAGACUGCUCGACAAACACUGCGCCAAGAGCUCCUCAGCAGAAGCUCCUCGCAUCAGAUCCUCUGUGCUGGGAAUCCUCCCCUCUUGAGCACACUCUGUGCUCCUCUUCCAGUUACGGUGCAUGUGAAGCAAUGGUAUGGGAAAAUUGUUUGCAGAAGGAUGAAAAGGCUUUAUUGCCAAACUGUAAGUACAUGAUUUGAAAUGUUUAUGGUCAAGAGAAAAUAUUUCUACAGCAUCAUGUAAAGCAUGUAGAUACAUUUGCACAUGUGCAUUAACAUGUAAGAACAUGUGCCUCAGACACAUGUGCCCUCCUGGAACAGCUCAUGCUGGCCCCAUGCCUGCUUCCAAGCUUCCAUCAAGUCAGGGAGUGGAGCAAAGAGGGAAGGCAGCCCCUGCACUGUAGGGACCCUUAUGCACAGAGGCAUUGAGACUGCCUGUUCCUCUUGGAAGCUUCUGCUCUCAAGAGGCAGCUAGGUUUUUGGAGCUUCUCUGCUUCAUGUCUUGCUUCCCACCCUAGGGUUCCAGAUUCUGUUCUUCCCUAGUAUUGGCAAGGUUUUUUAUAGAUAGCUCUUGGAUACAUUUGGAAGUAAUGUUUACAAAUGGUGAGAGAGAAGGCAUCUGACAUUUUUUUCUAAACACAUGCCAAUGUUUGUCUUUUCCCCACUAAUUUCAAUAAUUUGGCCUAACACUUUUGUCACAUAUUCUGACUCUUUAUUCUGAUCCAUUUAUCUACUCUGGCAUCCCCACAUGGUUUUAAGUACUGGAGCUUUACUGUAUGUCUUGGUAUCAGGCCAAGCAAACCAUGUUAGUCUUAUUUAAAACUUUCUCAGCAAUUGAUGCAUAUUUGUUUAUCCUGAUGAAUUUUAGAACUUACCAGUACUGACAUCUUCACAGCAUUGUAUCCUGUCAACAACCUAGUCUGAACCUCAAUGGUUCAGGUUUCCUUUGCACAUACAGGCCCUGAGAACUCAUAUGUUAAUGAGAAAGACAUUCCGGGAAACCAGGAGGUGAGGAGACCAAGGAUUAGGCUCCACUCCUAUUAUGAAGAUGAACAGUUUUUAGAGUAUCAUGGAGUUGGAGAAGGUACUUCAAGGAUCUCUAUGGGGAACAAGAAGGAACAGCAAAGUUCCACCAUCCUGUGCCCUUUCUGUUCAGGUUUAUUGUUGUGAAUGAGAAUUUUUUUUUUUUUAACAUGUUGUGGAUCUAUCUAUCUGAUCACCUUAUUGAACUGAGAAUGGUUCUAUGGACUUGACUUUUCUUGGACUGACAACUGUACUGUCUGGAAAUGACAGUUUCUCCUUCCUUUCAGUAUUUGUGCCUGUCUAUCCCACAUCCCUGUACUGGUCAGGAUUUCCAGGACAAUAGUGAAUAAUAGUCGGGACAACAGGCUGGUUCUGAUUCCACUGUUCCUAACAUUCUACCAAGAAGCAUGUUUUUUUUCUAUUUUGGUAGUUUUAUGUUAGGUAGCCUUAUCAAGUUAGGACUUUUUUUUUUUUUAACCCAAGCUAAAGAAAGUACCCAAAAUAAAGAAAUUUUAUCAGGAACAGGUAUAAAUUUUAAGAAACGUAUUUCAACGCCUGCUAAAAUUACCACUUAUUUUUCUAUUAUGGCAACAAAUUACAUUAAUAGAUUUUCACUGUUAUUGUUUAUCCUGGGAGAAAGCAUACUUGUGAACUUUUUUAGGUACUGUGCUUUGGAACCAAAUUUGGAAGUGAGAUGAAAUGUCAGCUGUACUCUCCUGGUUAGGUAUGAUUUCAGGGUCAGGUAUGCCUGAUAAAUGAAGUGAGAUGCUUUAACUUUGUUCUAGAAUAGUUUCUACUGCAUGGGAAUGAUCUGUUCCUUGAGGAUUUGUCACAGUCUGCCCACAGUGGACUGGAUUUGGCAUGUAGGAUGUUAAUUUCUAUUUACUUUGCAAGAAAAAUACAGUUUAGCAAGCAACAGAAACAUACUGAACAUGAACCUCACCGUCCCUCUCUCAGCUGUAGCUCCUUCUGCGUCUGCAACCUGGCUUGUUCCCACGACAAAGGAACAUCAUAUUUUUUCAAAUCGUUUUUAAAAAAAUACACACAUAUCUGACCAUCUUCACUCAGCGCCUCUGAGAAAACAAUACAAAAACAGAUAAAGAGGCCAGCCUGGCCAACCCUGUCUCAAAAAAAAAAAAAACUUAAGGUAUUUUGUUAAUAAAAUCAUUUUCAUAAUGGAAAAGACUCAGAAAAUUCCCCUCGCAUGACAUAUAACAUCCAACAAGGGGCUGAACCAAGAAAAAAUACUGCAGCUGCUGCUAAUGGCAACACUGAGCAAGCACCUGGCCUGUGCCAGGCACUGUCCUGUGCAGUCUGUGUUUGCACUCAUUUUAUCCUCAAGAGCCAGAUGAGCAUCUCCACCAGACAGCACCUGCAGAGGCUUGGGCAGUUUAUUUUACCGUCUCUGAGUAAAAUAGGGAUAAUAAGUAACAGUACCCAUACACAGGUGGCAGAGACGCUAGGGAACUUGCCCAAGGUCACAGAGCUUCCAAGUGGAGGAGCAGGGACACAUAUGCUCACAAUGAUGGCACUAAGGCACAUGUUGCCUGGAUGGAGACCAGCCCACAGAUGAGAGUUCCAGGACAGAGGGAACAUGGAUGGAUCAAGUGAAGUGACAGAACAUUUGGAAAACUCUACCGAGAUAUAUACGGCCCCCCAGUAAAAUUAAAGAGAUAAAGAGAACUACAUUAAGUGAGACAAUAAGGCAACUCUAUUUCUUGCAGGAAAAAAAUAAUUGUGGUUAUAGAACACUACUGGUUCUGAGGUGAAUAGCAGUCACAGAGCCAUCAAAAUAUGACCCCACUCACUGAAGUAAUACAAAGUGCUAGUGUAGCUAUCCCGGGAAGACGUGGAAGGCCGAGCAAGGACCAUGGCACAAGAGGCCACGCUGUACCUAGUAUGGUAUGCAGUGGCCAAGAGGACCCCCCUGAUUCCACCUAGUGUUCAUGCCCACGUGUGAUCUCCUGCCCCGUGAGCUGGGCCUAGCCACUCACUUCUGACAGACAGAAGCCAACAAAAGCAACAGGAUGUCACUUCUAAGUUUAGGUUAUAAACACACUCAGACUUCCAUCUAGGCUCACCUCUUGCUCACUCUGAUGAAAGCCAGCUGCCAUGCUGUCAGCUGGGGAGAGGCCCAUGUGGCAGGAACUGAGGAAGUCUUUGGCCACAGCCUGCAAGGAAGUGAAUCCUGACACAAGCUCACUAGAGUGAGCUGGGAAGUAGAUACCCUUCAGUCAAGCUUUCAGAUGAGGCCACAAUCCUAGCCAACAUUUUCAUUUCCACCCAUGAGAAACCUUGAGCCAGAAGACCCAAGCUAAGCUACACCUGGAUUCCUGACCCACAGAUACCAUGAUAACAGACAUUAUUUUAAGCUGCUAUGUUAGGAGUAAUUAGUUAUUUAGGAAUAAGGUAACUAAUACAUUUAUAUUAAUGGGAAGUCAGCAGAGAACAUUUAAAUGGAUAAACUGAGAAAUGGCUGUGUAAGUGUGUGAUCUGGAAACAGGAGAAAAAUGCAGCCCUGAAGAAAGGAGUUAAGAGAGGAAGGAGGAGCUACUAUGUCUCAUUUUAAAUCACGUGGGUGGCAUUAUUUGACUUCUUUUUAAGUACACGGAAGUGUUACUUUCUUAAAUGAAAAUGAAGGUAACAGCAGCAGUAAACUAAUUUCCAGUAGAUGAAAUGUGACUUUGUAAUCCCAGGAAAAGGGAAGAAUUUGCACCAAGAAGUUACUGUUACCUCAGAAUGGCAAGAGCAUGGAUGGCUCUUAUCAUCAUCUUUAUACUUCUUUUACAUUUCCUCAUUUUUUAAAAGUUUUGUGUACAUAUUACAUUUAGGAAAUCCAAUAUAUAGUAUUAAAACAGAAAAAGUAAAGAAGCAGGCUGGGCUUGGUGCCCACUACUCAAUUUGACUGGCUUAAAAAAAUUUUUUAAACGACAUGUACGGACAGACAUAAUACUUGCUUCUGAGCCUCCCAGUCUUUCAAAACCACAUUAGGGAAUAAGCAGUAUUUGCAUGGUUCCAGUGAUAUCUGGGAGUAAGUGAAAGUAAUGAAAACACAGAAGUAAACACAAAGUAAUUAUAGUUCACCUUUAUACACACGUUAACAGAAAUCAUCUGAUCCCCUUUGCUGCUAAGUGAGUUGAAAAGCGAAAGCGUCUGAAUCCCACCAGCAUCGCUGGAUGUGUCAUCCACUGAGCCUUCAUCUCCCAUGAACUUGACUUUUAACCAAUUUGCUAGAAUUCUACAGAUUUAAAAAAAACA